Molecule: microRNA precursor, 135 nt
Filed under: Brassica oleracea var. oleracea
Lineage: Eukaryota; Viridiplantae; Streptophyta; Magnoliopsida; Brassicales; Brassicaceae
Description: pre miRNA mir-598
Source: RNAcentral
GCUUGAUGAGUAGAUGAUCAUAGUGCUUGAGUUGGUAAAGGAGUGGAAGAUCAUUUCAAUGUUUAUCUUAUAAGAUGGGGCUUGAAAUGAUCAUCCACUCCUUUACCAACUCAAGCACUAUGAUCAUCUACUCAU